Molecule: ribosomal RNA, 1277 nt
Filed under: Salmonella enterica subsp. enterica serovar Typhimurium
Lineage: Bacteria; Pseudomonadati; Pseudomonadota; Gammaproteobacteria; Enterobacterales; Enterobacteriaceae
Description: bacterial LSU rRNA
Rfam family: Bacterial large subunit ribosomal RNA
Source: RNAcentral
GUUAUCACGGGAGACACACGGCGGGUGCUAACGUCCGUCGUGAAGAGGGAAACAACCCAGACCGCCAGCUAAGGUCCCAAAGUCAUGGUUAAGUGGGAAACGAUGUGGGAAGGCCCAGACAGCCAGGAUGUUGGCUUAGAAGCAGCCAUCAUUUAAAGAAAGCGUAAUAGCUCACUGGUCGAGUCGGCCUGCGCGGAAGAUGUAACGGGGCUAAACCAUGCACCGAAGCUGCGGCAGCGAACGUAUCACCCAAGACAACUUUACGGAGUUGACGAUUGACGGAGCGAAGCGACGUCAAAGCGUUCAUUAAAGUCGAGUUGGCUUAGGGAUACGUUCGUUGGGUAGGGGAGCGUUCUGUAAGCCUGUGAAGGUGUGUCGUGAGGCAUGCUGGAGGUAUCAGAAGUGCGAAUGCUGACAUAAGUAACGAUAAAGCGGGUGAAAAGCCCGCUCGCCGGAAGACCAAGGGUUCCUGUCCAACGUUAAUCGGGGCAGGGUGAGUCGACCCCUAAGGCGAGGCCGAAAGGCGUAGUCGAUGGGAAACGGGUUAAUAUUCCCGUACUUGGUGUUACUGCGAAGGGGGGACGGAGAAGGCUAUGUUGGCCGGGCGACGGUUGUCCCGGUUUAAGCGUGUAGGUGUGUGUUCCAGGUAAAUCCGGUUCACUUUAACACUGAGGCGUGACGACGAGGCACUACGGUGCUGAAGCAACAAAUGCCCUGCUUCCAGGAAAAGCCUCUAAGCAUCAGGUAACACGAAAUCGUACCCCAAACCGACACAGGUGGUCAGGUAGAGAAUACCAAGGCGCUUGAGAGAACUCGGGUGAAGGAACUAGGCAAAAUGGUGCCGUAACUUCGGGAGAAGGCACGCUGACACGUAGGUGAAGUGAUUUACUCAUGGAGCUGAAGUCAGUCGAAGAUACCAGCUGGCUGCAACUGUUUAUUAAAAACACAGCACUGUGCAAACACGAAAGUGGACGUAUACGGUGUGACGCCUGCCCGGUGCCGGAAGGUUAAUUGAUGGGGUCAGCGUAAGCGAAGCUCCUGAUCGAAGCCCCGGUAAACGGCGGCCGUAACUAUAACGGUCCUAAGGUAGCGAAAUUCCUUGUCGGGUAAGUUCCGACCUGCACGAAUGGCGUAAUGAUGGCCAGGCUGUCUCCACCCGAGACUCAGUGAAAUUGAACUCGCUGUGAAGAUGCAGUGUACCCGCGGCAAGACGGAAAGACCCCGUGAACCUUUACUAUAGCUUGACACUGAACAUUGAGCCUUGAUGUGUAGGAUAG